AUAAGUAAUGUGAAUUGCAGAUUUUCAGUGAAUCAUCGAAUCUUUGAACGCACCUUGCGCUCCUUGGUAUUCCGAGGAGCAUGCCUGUUUGAGUGUCAUUAAAUUCUCAAACUCUGAUUGAUUUGUUUCAAUCGGAGGUUUGGAUUUGGAGCGUGCCGGCGUCAUGUCGGCUCCUCUUGAAUGCAUCAGCGGAAUCCCAUUCAUUUCGGACGUCAGUGUGAUAAUCAUGUUGCGCUGUCUUUGCGAUCUUGAAAGCCCGCUCACAAUGGUCUUCGGACAAACCUCACAUAUCAUAUUUGACCUCAAAUCAGGUAGGACUACCCGCUGAACUUAAGCAUAUCAAUAAGCGGAGGAAAAGAAACUAACAAGGAUUCCCCUAGUAACUGCGAGUGAAGCGGGAAAAGCUCAAAUUUAAAAUCUGGCGGUCUCGCGGCCGUCCGAGUUGUAAUCUGGAGAAGCGUCUAUCCGCGUCGGACCGUGUACAAGUCUUCUGGAAGGGAGCGUCAUAGAGGGUGAGAAUCCCGUCUUUGACACGGACAACCGAUGCUUUUGCGAUGCGCUCUCGAAGAGUCGAGUUGUUUGGGAAUGCAGCUCAAAAUGGGUGGUAAAUUCCAUCUAAAGCUAAAUAUUGGCGAGAGACCGAUAGCGAACAAGUACCGUGAGGGAAAGAUGAAAAGCACUUUGGAAAGAGAGUUAAACAGUACGUGAAAUUGUUGAAAGGGAAACGUUUGAAGUCAGUCGCGUCGGCCGAGACUCAACCUUGCUCUUCGCUCGGUGCACUUCUCUGUUGACGGGUCAGCAUCAAUUUCGACCGCCGGACAAAGGUCAGGGGAAUGUGGCAUCUUCGGGAUGUGUUAUAGCCCUUGAUUCGCAUACGGCGAUUGGGAUUGAGGAACUCGGCGCUUCACGCGUCCAGGAUGCUGGCAUAAUGGCUUUAAGCGACCCGUCUUGAAACACGGACCAAGGAGUCUAACAUGCCCGCGAGUGUUUGGGUGUCAAACCCGAGCGCGUAAUGAAAGUGAAAGUUGAGAUCCCUGUCGUGGGGAGCAUCGACGCCCGGACCAGACCUUCUGUGACGGAUCUGCGGUAGAGCGUGUAUGUUGGGACCCCGAAAGAUGGUGAACUAUGCCUGAAUAGGGUGAAGCCAGAGGAAACUCUGGUGGAGGCUCGUAGCGAUUCUGACGUGCAAAUCGAUCGUCGAAUUUGGUAUAGGGCGAAGACUAUCGACCAUCUAGU
RNAcentral lists this ribosomal RNA (1236 nucleotides) under Piloderma byssinum. RNAcentral describes it as "eukaryotic LSU rRNA". The stretch from base 298 to 1236 matches the Rfam family "Eukaryotic large subunit ribosomal RNA", at positions 1 to 948 of the family's 3401-position model. The record is from RNAcentral. Lineage: Eukaryota; Fungi; Basidiomycota; Agaricomycetes; Atheliales; Atheliaceae.